AGCAGUCGCCACGGUAAUACGUAGGUGGCGAGCGUUGUCCGGAAUUAUUGGGCGUAAAGGGAGCGCAGGCGGACAUAUAAGUCCAUCUUAAAAGUGCGGGGCUCAACCCCGUGAGGGGAUGGAAACUGUAUGCCUUGAGUGCAGGAGAGGAAAGCGGAAUUCCCAGUGUAGCGGUGAAAUGCGUAGAUAUUGGGUGGAACACCAGUGGCGAAGGCGGCUUUCUGGACUGUAACUGACGCUGAGGCUCGAAAGCCAGGGGAGCGAACGGGAUUAGAUACCCCUGUAGUCCCUGUCUCUUAUACA
RNAcentral lists this ribosomal RNA (303 nucleotides) under uncultured bacterium. Its description in RNAcentral is "partial 16S ribosomal RNA". It matches the Rfam family "Bacterial small subunit ribosomal RNA", at positions 507 to 809 of the family's 1533-position model. The record is from RNAcentral.